RNAcentral lists this long non-coding RNA (2595 nucleotides) under Homo sapiens (human). Its description in RNAcentral is "HSALNT0197598". Lineage: Eukaryota; Metazoa; Chordata; Mammalia; Primates; Hominidae. The record is from RNAcentral.
CACACACAGGCACCUGUGCCCAAAUCCGGGCGAUGAUCCAGAAAUUAAGCGCCCAGGUCUGUCUCUAAUUGCACGUUUCAGCAGCGCCGCCCACCUAAUACAUCACUCUCUGAUGUGAAGGGAGGGGGAAAUUGCAGCCAGCCAGUCUGGUCUUUCCUCUGGAAAGGUUGGGAGAUGUCAGAGGAGUGGCAGUAGCAAGUCGUCUCACGUGAACCCGGAGGUGCUCUGUGGUCCCCAAGGGGCGGAGCCUGCAGCUGCUGGGGUCUGGGAUGGAGGGGCUUUGCACUGGACCACCUGAGCUAUCCAGGGUGUGGGGCUCCAUAGAGGCCCAGAUAGGGGCUCAGGGACCUCCAGCCAGGGCAGAAGAGCUCAGGGGUGGUUUCCUGGCUCUCUGCAGUGAGUAGGGUGUUAGAAGGCACCAAAACAAGGCCCCUCCCCCUUGGAUCUGCAGGGCAUGGGCUGGUCGUAUGUCAGCUGUUGCUGCCACAGAAGUCAGGCUUCCAGGGGUGGAGUGAGCCCUGGGGUGACCUGGUGAUUCUGCAGCCACUGUGACAAGGCAUGGAGUGUCUUACGGGUCCCCUGCGGUCCAGUGUUAGAGCACCAAGUUACGUAACCCAUGUGACCCUGGGCUUCCCAACACGGCGCAGGCUUUCCCGUAGACCCUCCUUCACACUGGAGCCCCUUUGACAGGAAGGGUGAGAUCAAAGGAAUCCUUCUCUCCAUGAGGAAUGCCGGCGCUUGCAGCAGCUGCUCUGCGAGGGCCCGCAUGUUUGCAGACCCGGACCUCAGGAAGGGAAUGCAGGUGACCACAGCAGCGCAUUCGGGAAGGUUCGGGGCCAGCUGGCGGCCACAUGAGGAGCCUGCCCUCCCAGGAGCAACGGUCCAUCUGCCUGUCAGAUAAAAGACUCAGACGCAGUCCCGGAUGCAACCAUGACUCUCAGCACCAAGGCGUCCCCCCUUCAGCGUUCAGAAUGUAAUGGAAUCCACAUAGGGGCUUCACUUCUCAUCAUUCCAGCACCCCCCACCGUGUGUGGAAAUGCACCUUCUCUUCUCCUGGGAGAUGUUCCUCCCAUCCAACCGUCUGGUUCCAGGAAGAUACUGUGCUCAUACAUGACUCCGCCCCCAUAGCCACCACUGAUUGGUCUAUGGGUGGUCACCUCACCCCAUAUUGGCCUUCCUGGGAUUUUUCAAACUGGAACUGACAUGAAGCCAAGAGGAGGAAGAGACUGCAUGUUUUCUGGCAUAUGGGGAAAGCUGAUCUACCAUGACAAAGAGUUAAGACAAUCUCAUUAGAAGACAGAGGAGGUGGGGCUGGACCAUCCAGGGCUGGCUGCUCUGAUGCUCACCUGCACAUCUGACCUGCUCUUUGGCUGCACAACCUGAGUCCAAGAGCAGACCCACAGGGCUCCCUGCAGAGAGUUCAAUGCAGAGGCUAUUUACAGAGGUCUAGGUAGGGGUGGGGAACCUGUACCCCAUGAACUGGAACAGCAGGGAAGCUGUUAUCCACUGUAAGCCCCAGGGCACAGGUGUGGGGCUUUGUUGCUGGAAUGCAGGGAGGGUUGUAAUUCUGGGAGAGGAGUUAUCUGGCAGGAUCGGAGAUCUUAUUUGAAGGAAAACCUCCACUGCCAAAUGUCAGUCAAGCAGGCUCCAACUUCUGUCUCCUCCCACCCUCAGGCUUCUCCUGUUGACUCUCAUCAGCCAAAUCCAACAGAAUCCAGAGGGCAGGGAGCCCCACUGUUGCCAUUUAUAGAGGUCAGCCUGCUGGUCACAGUGAGGUCAGAGAAGUUCACAAAGUGAUGCAGAGGGGCAGUCAGAGAAUAACUUGUGCAAAACGACCCUUCUUUGAUUCCUUGAGUCAGUAAAUGUUCCCAUUGGUCUUAGCAUUUCUGAGUUGCAUUUCUCUUAUUUGACUCCAAAAAUCCUGUUCCUGUGACCAACUCCCCCAAAGAGACUAAGUUUCUUAAGCCAUUUACUAAAUCAAGUAUAUGGGCUGGUGAAGCUCAGUAAUGUUUGUUGGAUGGCUGGAUGAGGAGGCAAGAAAGCACUGCAGAGGCCCCACCACUGCUAGAUAGAUGCUGCACUGGGUCAUCAAAAUGCUACCCAACCUUAGGCGGCAUCUUUGUCAAAGCAUCUUACGAUCUUGCCCAAGAUUACUUUUGAUGGAGCAUAGAGGCUCUUGGCAGCAGAAUGUCUCUUUUCAUGGUCUUUUAUAAAACCAGCUGCCCAGCAGUGCCUGAGACUGAGCAGACAUUUGAUUCAUGUUUGAAUGAAGGGGUGGAUGAGUGGAUGAUAGAUGAUGGAUGGGUGGAGAGAUGAAGAAGUAAAUGGGUAGAUGGAUGGAUGGAUAAACCAGUAAAUGGGUAAAUGGGUGGAUGGAUGAAUAAGCAAAUGAGUAGAUAGGCAGAUGGGUGGUGGAUAAGUCAUAAAUGGAUGGAUGGGUGAAUGAGUAGACGUGUGGAUAGAUGGUUGGAUGAUGAAUGGAUGAGUGUGUGGAUAGGUGAAUGAAUAAGUAAAUGGGUAGAUGGGUGAAUGGAUGGAUGGAUGAUGGAUGGAUAGUGAAUGGAUGGAUGGAUAAGUGAAUGGCUAUAUAGGUAG